GCUGCUCUGAUAAUCGCGAACCUCUACACAGUGAGCAGCAGGCAACAAUCUAAGGAUCGGCUGAGAUGUGAAG
Molecule: ribozyme, 73 nt
Filed under: unclassified sequences
Description: HDV ribozyme from F. prausnitzii
Rfam family: HDV ribozyme from F. prausnitzii
Source: RNAcentral